This 467-nucleotide ribosomal RNA is filed under the name uncultured bacterium. RNAcentral describes it as "partial 16S ribosomal RNA". It matches the Rfam family "Bacterial small subunit ribosomal RNA", at positions 29 to 507 of the family's 1533-position model. The record is from RNAcentral.
AUGAACGCUGGCGGCGUGCUUAACACCUGCAAGUCGAACGGAAAGGCCCAAGCUUGCUUGGGUACUCGAGUGGCGAACGGGUGAGUAACACGUGGGUGAUCUGCCCUGCACUUCGGGAUAAGCCUGGGAAACUGGGUCUAAUACCGGAUAGGACCACUUCUUGGAUGUUGUGGUGGAAAGUUUUUCGGUGUGGGAUGAGCUCGCGGCCUAUCAGCUUGUUGGUGGGGUAAUGGCCUACCAAGGCGUCGACGGGUAGCCGGCCUGAGAGGGUGUACGGCCACAUUGGGACUGAGAUACGGCCCAGACUCCUACGGGAGGCAGCAGAGGGGAAUAUUGCACAAUGGGCGCAAGCCUGAUGCAGCGACGCCGCGUGGGGGAUGACGGCCUUCGGGUUGUAAACUCCUUUCGCUAGGGACGAAGCUUAUUUUGUGACGGUACCUGGAGAAGAAGCACCGGCUAACUACGUG